GACGAACGCUGGCGGCGUGCCUAAUACAUGCAAGUCGAACGAGAGCAACCGGUGCUUGCACUGUUCAAUCUAGUGGCGAACGGGUGAGUAACACGUGGGUAACCUGCCCAUCAGAGGGGGAUAACAUCCGGAAACGGAUGCUAAAACCGCAUAGGUCUUCGAACCGCAUGGUUUGAAGAGGAAAAGAGGCGCAAGCUUCUGCUGAUGGAUGGACCCGCGGUGCAUUAGCUAGUUGGUGAGGUAACGGCUCACCAAGGCCGUGAUGCAUAGCCGACCUGAGAGGGUGAUCGGCCACAUUGGGACUGAGACACGGCCCACACUCCUACGGGAGGCAGCAGUAGGGAAUAUUCCGCAAUGGACGCAAGUCUGACGGAGCAACGCCGCGUGAGUGAAGAAGGUUUUCGGAUCGUAAAACUCUGUUGUUAGAGAAGAACAAGUGCUAGAGUAACUGUUAGCGCCUUGACGGUAUCUAACCAGAAAGCCACGGCUAACUACGUG
Molecule: ribosomal RNA, 498 nt
Filed under: uncultured bacterium
Lineage: Bacteria
Description: partial 16S ribosomal RNA
Rfam family: Bacterial small subunit ribosomal RNA
Source: RNAcentral